RNAcentral lists this ribosomal RNA (686 nucleotides) under Enterococcus gallinarum. Its description in RNAcentral is "bacterial SSU rRNA". It matches the Rfam family "Bacterial small subunit ribosomal RNA", at positions 1 to 661 of the family's 1533-position model. The record is from RNAcentral. Lineage: Bacteria; Bacillati; Bacillota; Bacilli; Lactobacillales; Enterococcaceae.
UUUUAGAGUUUGAUUUCCCGCUCAGGACGAACGCUGGCGGCGUGCCUAAUACAUGCAAGUCGAACGCUUUUUCUUUCACCGGAGCUUGCUCCACCGAAAGAAAAAGAGUGGCGAACGGGUGAGUAACACGUGGGUAACCUGCCCAUCAGAAGGGGAUAACACUUGGAAACAGGUGCUAAUACCGUAUAACACUAUUUUCCGCAUGGAAGAAAGUUGAAAGGCGCUUUUGCGUCACUGAUGGAUGGACCCGCGGUGCAUUAGCUAGUUGGUGAGGUAACGGCUCACCAAGGCAACGAUGCAUAGCCGACCUGAGAGGGUGAUCGGCCACACUGGGACUGAGACACGGCCCAGACUCCUACGGGAGGCAGCAGUAGGGAAUCUUCGGCAAUGGACGAAAGUCUGACCGAGCAACGCCGCGUGAGUGAAGAAGGUUUUCGGAUCGUAAAACUCUGUUGUUAGAGAAGAACAAGGAUGAGAGUAAAACGUUCAUCCCUUGACGGUAUCUAACCAGAAAGCCACGGCUAACUACGUGCCAGCAGCCGCGGUAAUACGUAGGUGGCAAGCGUUGUCCGGAUUUAUUGGGCGUAAAGCGAGCGCAGGCGGUUUCUUAAGUCUGAUGUGAAAGCCCCCGGCUCAACCGGGGAGGGUCAUUGGAAACUGGGAGACUUGAGUGCAGAAGAGGAGAG